UACAGAGGUCCCAAGCGUUGUUCGGAUUCAUUGGGCGUAAAGGGUGCGUAGGCGGCGCGGUAAGUCGGGUGUGAAAUCUCGGAGCUUAACUCCGAAACUGCAUUCGAUGCUGCCGUGCUUGAGGACUGGAGAGGAGACUGGAAUUUACGGUGUAGCGGUGAAAUGCGUAGAUAUCGUAAGGAAGACCAGUGGCGAAGGCGGGUCUCUGGGCCUUACCUGACGCUGAGGCGCGAAAGCUAGGGGAGCGAACAGG
RNAcentral lists this ribosomal RNA (253 nucleotides) under uncultured bacterium. RNAcentral's name for it is "partial 16S ribosomal RNA". It matches the Rfam family "Bacterial small subunit ribosomal RNA", at positions 524 to 776 of the family's 1533-position model. The record is from RNAcentral.